This 557-nucleotide ribosomal RNA is filed under the name uncultured bacterium. Its description in RNAcentral is "partial 16S ribosomal RNA". It matches the Rfam family "Bacterial small subunit ribosomal RNA", at positions 355 to 937 of the family's 1533-position model. The record is from RNAcentral.
UGGGGAAUAUUGGACAAUGGGCGCAAGCCUGAUCCAGCAAUGCCGCGUGAGUGAUGAAGGCCUUAGGGUUGUAAAGCUCUUUCGCACGCGACGAUGAUGACGGUAGCGUGAGAAGAAGCCCCGGCUAACUUCGUGCCAGCAGCCGCGGUAAUACGAAGGGGGCUAGCGUUGUUCGGAAUUACUGGGCGUAAAGGGCGCGUAGGCGGCCUGUUUAGUCAGAAGUGAAAGCCCCGGGCUCAACCUGGGAAUAGCUUUUGAUACUGGCAGGCUUGAGUUCCGGAGAGGAUGGUGGAAUUCCCAGUGUAGAGGUGAAAUUCGUAGAUAUUGGGAAGAACACCGGUGGCGAAGGCGGCCAUCUGGACGGANACUGACGCUGAGGCGCGAAAGCGUGGGGAGCAAACAGAUUAGAUACCCUGGUAGUCCACGCGUAAACGAUGAAUGCUAGACGUCGGGGUGCAUNCACUUCGGUGUCGCCGCUAACGCAUUAAGCAUUCCGCCUGGGGAGUACGGCCGCAAGGUUAAAACUCAAAUGAAUUGACGGGGUCAUAGCUGUUCCU